RNAcentral lists this ribosomal RNA (388 nucleotides) under uncultured soil bacterium. RNAcentral's name for it is "bacterial SSU rRNA". It matches the Rfam family "Bacterial small subunit ribosomal RNA", at positions 26 to 406 of the family's 1533-position model. The record is from RNAcentral.
AGAUUGAACGCUGGCGGCAGGCCUAACACAUGCAAGUCGAGCGGUAGAGAGGUGCUUGCACCUCUUGAGAGCGGCGGACGGGUGAGUAAUGCCUAGGAAUCUGCCUAGUGGUGGGGGGAUAACGUUCGGAAACGGACGCUAAUACCGCAUACGUCCUACGGGAGAAAGCGGGGGACCCUUCGGGCCUCGCGCCAUUGAUGAGCCUAGGUCGGAUUAGCUAGUUGGUGAGGUAAUGGCUCACCAAGGCGACGAUCCGUAACUGGUCUGAGAGGAUGAUCAGUCACACUGGAACUGAGACACGGUCCAGACUCCUAGGGAGGCAGCAGUGGGAAUAUUGGACAAGUGGGACGAAAGCCUAGAAUCCGAGCCCAGUUCGGACCGCGUUGGU